GCGCCGGUGGUGUAAUGGCGUAGAGCAUUCCCGCCCGGUCAGAGGGAGGUGCGGGUUCGAGUCCCGCCAGGCGCU
This is a non-coding RNA of Heligmosomoides polygyrus, 75 nucleotides long. NCBI's taxonomy places the organism in Eukaryota, Metazoa, Nematoda, Chromadorea, Rhabditida, Heligmosomidae. The record is from Rfam.